ACAGCCAUACCAUCCUGAAUAUACCGGUUCUCGUUCGAUCACCAAAGUCGAGCGUUAUCGGGCGCGGUCAGCACUUGGGAGGGUUGACCGCUUGGGAACACCGCAUGCUGUU
Molecule: non-coding RNA, 112 nt
Organism: Caerostris darwini
Lineage: Eukaryota; Metazoa; Arthropoda; Arachnida; Araneae; Araneidae
Source: the annotation of a GenBank genome assembly